GAGUUUGAUCAUGGCUCAGAAUAAACGCUGGCGGCGUGCCUAACACAUGCAAGUCGCACGAGAAAGCCUGGUUUCGGCUGGGCGAGUAAAGUGGCGCACGGGUGAGUAACGCGUAGGCAACCUACCCCUGUAUUUGGGAUAACAGAGCGAAAGCGCUGCUAAUACCGGAUACGAUCCAUUGGCGGGAGUUGAUGGAUGAAAGUCAGCCUCUCGAAGAGGCUGAUGUACGGGGAUGGGCCUGCGUCCUAUCAGCUAGUUGGUAGGGUAACGGCCUACCAAGGCGACGACGGGUAGCUGGUCUGAGAGGAUGAUCAGCCACACUGGCACUGGAACACGGGCCAGACUCCUACGGGAGGCAGCAGUGAGGAAUUUUGCGCAAUGGCCGCAAGGCUGACGCAGCAACGCCGCGUGGGUGAAGAAGGCCUUCGGGUCGUAAAGCCCUGUCAGGUGGGAAGAAGUGCUUGGGGGUAAAUAGCCCUUGAGUUUGACGGUACCACCAGAGGAAGCACCGGCUAACUCCGUGCCAGCAGCCGCGGUAAUACGGAGGGUGCGAGCGUUAUUCGGAAUUACUGGGCGUAAAGCGCGUGCAGGCGGGGGUGCAAGUCUGAUGUGAAAGCCCUGGGCUUAACCUGGGAAGUGCAUUGGAAACUGCAUCUCUUGAGUACU
RNAcentral lists this ribosomal RNA (666 nucleotides) under uncultured delta proteobacterium. Its description in RNAcentral is "bacterial SSU rRNA". It matches the Rfam family "Bacterial small subunit ribosomal RNA", at positions 9 to 650 of the family's 1533-position model. Lineage: Bacteria; Deltaproteobacteria. The record is from RNAcentral.